AUGUCCCAGCCUCUGUCUACACAGAGUUUCUGUAUCCACCCCUCUCCCAUGGCAAGGAACUCCAAGGCCCAGCAUAGCACUGAACCACCAUCAGAUGUGAUGUCUAUUGAUGCAAGAUCCCUUCUAGUUCAGAAGAGGAGGAGAGAGGGCUUCAGACUCACCUGGUUCCCAAGGAGGAUGAGGCGAGAGAAUUGGAUGAGAGAGCAGGGAGCUGGGCUGCCUUUUAUACUGGUCCUUCAUUGCCGCAGGCCCAGGGGCACCCUUGGCAGAGGUAACAAUUUUCUGAGAAGCUCAUCUUGAAUGCAAACCAUCCCAGCAAAUGAUAUGGGCUGUGUGUUGGUUUGCUGCACUGGUGCCUUUUCAUUUUCAGAUUUAGGCCAUGGCCAUUCCCCAAUGAUGACUUCUUUGGAGUGCUGGGAUGAACAGCCCAAGUAUUUCUAAGGCAGGAAUGCAUCUGUGAUAGCAGAAGACUCAUUUUAAGUGCUGGAUGUGUCCCGAGCAGUCAUGUGACGUCUGUCUGGGUGACAUUGUUGGGGAUGUUUGAAGUGGUAUUCUGAGGAGGAAGCUCCCACAAGCUGAAGUUGGAUUCUGAAGUAUGGCUAUGCAUGAGGAAGUGCCACAUCCUUCCUUUUCCUUUCUACCUCAUCUCACUCUGAUGGUCCCUUGUUGCCUCCCCGGGUGUGUGAUUUGUUCUACUGGCUUUUACCCUCAUCCACAUUAGCACUGCAGUCCAUGAAAAAAUAUUCUUUCUCCUUUUGACUCCAUGUCUCUCGGUGCAGUCUGUGAGCUCACUAACAGUGCCAUAGAAUCGCAGAACAGCAGAAUCAUAGAAUGGCUUUGUUUGGAAGGGACAUUGAAGUUAAAGUUCAUUGAGUUCAACCUCCCUGCCAUGGGCAUGGAUACUUUCCACUGGAACAGUCUGCCAAGAGCCCCAUCCAAUGUAGCCUUGAAAAUUUUCAGGAUGGGGCAUCCACAAGUUCUCUGCACAACCCGUUCCUCUGUAUCACCACCCUCAUUGUAAAGAUUUUCUUCCUAAUAACUAAUUAAAAUCUACUUUCGUUUAGUUUAUAACCAUUACCCCUUGACAUACUCCAGCCCUCUGAUCAUCUUUGAGGCCCUCCUCUGGACCCACUCUAACAGGUCUACG
This 1147-nucleotide long non-coding RNA is filed under the name Anser cygnoides (Swan goose). Its description in RNAcentral is "lncRNA (ENSACDG00005016670.1)". Lineage: Eukaryota; Metazoa; Chordata; Aves; Anseriformes; Anatidae. The record is from RNAcentral.